Molecule: transfer RNA, 73 nt
Filed under: Ackermannviridae sp.
Lineage: Duplodnaviria; Heunggongvirae; Uroviricota; Caudoviricetes; Pantevenvirales; Ackermannviridae
Also listed under: 1 other name
Description: tRNA-Phe
Rfam family: tRNA
About the family: Transfer RNA (tRNA) molecules are approximately 80 nucleotides in length. Their secondary structure includes four short double-helical elements and three loops (D, anti-codon, and T loops). Further hydrogen bonds mediate the characteristic L-shaped molecular structure. tRNAs have two regions of fundamental functional importance: the anti-codon, which is responsible for specific mRNA codon recognition, and the 3' end, to which the tRNAs corresponding amino acid is attached (by aminoacyl-tRNA synthetases). tRNAs cope with the degeneracy of the genetic code in two manners: having more than one tRNA (with a specific anti-codon) for a particular amino acid; and 'wobble' base-pairing, i.e. permitting non-standard base-pairing at the 3rd anti-codon position.
Source: RNAcentral
GGGUAAAUAGCUCCAAUGGUAGAGCACUAGAUUGAAGAUCUAGGUGUUGUUGGUUCGAAUCCAUCUUUACCCA